AAACAGCCAAAACUUUCAACAACGGAUCUCUUGGCUCUGGCAUCGAUGAAGAACGCAGCGAAAUGCGAUACGUAAUGCGAAUUGCAGAAUUCAGCGAGUCAUCGAAUCUUUGAACGCACAUUGCGCCCGCCAGCAUUCUGGCGGGCAUGCCUGUCCGAGCGUCAUUU
RNAcentral lists this ribosomal RNA (167 nucleotides) under Ophiostoma breviusculum. RNAcentral's name for it is "5.8S rRNA". It matches the Rfam family "5.8S ribosomal RNA". From Rfam's summary of the family: 5.8S ribosomal RNA (5.8S rRNA) is a component of the large subunit of the eukaryotic ribosome. The record is from RNAcentral. Lineage: Eukaryota; Fungi; Ascomycota; Sordariomycetes; Ophiostomatales; Ophiostomataceae.